UACGGGGGGGGUAAGCGUUGUUCGGAAUUACUGGGCGUAAAGGGCUCGUAGGCGGCCAACUAAGUCGGACGUGAAAUCCCUCAGCUUAACUGGGGAACUGCGUCCGAUACUGGAUGGCUUGGAUUUGGGAGAGGGAUGCGGAAUUCCAGGUGUAGCGGUGAAAUGCGUAGAUAUCGAGAGGAACACCUGCGGCGAAGGCGGGUUGCUGGGCUGAUACUGACGCUGAGGCGCGAAAGCCAGGGGAGCGAACGGG
RNAcentral lists this ribosomal RNA (253 nucleotides) under uncultured bacterium. RNAcentral's name for it is "partial 16S ribosomal RNA". It matches the Rfam family "Bacterial small subunit ribosomal RNA", at positions 524 to 776 of the family's 1533-position model. The record is from RNAcentral.